RNAcentral lists this ribosomal RNA (397 nucleotides) under uncultured bacterium. RNAcentral describes it as "bacterial SSU rRNA". It matches the Rfam family "Bacterial small subunit ribosomal RNA", at positions 28 to 429 of the family's 1533-position model. The record is from RNAcentral.
GACGAACGCUGGCGGCGUGCUUAACACAUGCAAGUCGAGCGGUAAGGCCCUUUCGGGGGUACGACGAGCGGCGAACGGGUGAGUAACACGUGGGUGACCUGCCCUCAGCUCUGGGAGUAAGCCUGGGAAACCGGGUCUAAUACCGGAUAUGACUCCAUGACGCAUGUUGUGGGGUGGAAAGCCUUGUGCGGCUGAGGAUGGGCCCGCGGCCUAUCAGCUUGUUGGUGGGGGAUGGCCUACCAAGGCGACGACGGGUAGCCGGCCUGAGAGGGCGACCGGCCACACUGGGACUGAGACACGGCCCAGACUCCUACGGGAGGCAGCAGUGGGGAAUCUUGCGCAAUGGGCGAAAGCCUGACGCAGCGACGCCGCGUGAGGGAUGACGGCCUGGUGUAAC